CGGAUUAAUUUUGCUUCUUUCCAGGGACUUGAUUUUCUACAAGUGGUACUCCAAGAGGCUCCUACACUUCAGCAGGGAGGACUCCGAGACUCCGACUGGUCACAGUCCUGCAGACCUCCAGGUCCUGCACCAGCGGCGCAGCGCUCCACUGGCCCGGAAAGCGCACACCGGCGGAAAUGAUUGGGGGCAGGAGCUGCUUUUUCAAUGAGAAGAAUGAACAGACCUAGUAGGCAUUACCUUCAGACCCAGGUAAGAGGAAUCCCAGCCUUGGGACAGCAAUUUCAAGGGCCAAGCCCAUAGGCCAUCCUUCUAGAACAUUCUCUGCAUAGCUAGGGCUUCAUGAGUCGCUUGCUGGGUUUGUCCGCCCUGGGUGGACUGUGUUGUCGGUGUGCACACCUGUAUUUCCAUGGAAUGGUCUUAGCCUGCUGCUAUAACAGAAUACCUGAGACUGGAAAAUGUAUAAACAAUAGACAUUUAUUUCUCACAGUUCUGGA
Molecule: long non-coding RNA, 494 nt
Organism: Macaca mulatta (Rhesus monkey)
Lineage: Eukaryota; Metazoa; Chordata; Mammalia; Primates; Cercopithecidae
Source: RefSeq, a predicted model, not a curated record